CGCCCGAAGUUUUGAAGCUUUUGUUGUAGUUUGACACUACUUGGAUAGAUGGCGCUAGUACCCUUCGCGCCAUUUGGUUUGUUGUGCACGUGCUUCAGUUUUGAAUCUUGCGCGACAGCUGACAGCGUUGUAGCUUCAAACGUGCAAGUUUCCCAUCCAUGCAAUUCAAAGGUUGACAAGAAAAGACGAGGAGACGGCAGACACAGGACAACCCCUCGGAACGUUAGAGCUGCCAGUCCAGCGGUAAUAAGGUGAAGGCCGACAUUGCAACCAAGGCUCCAGGACUUCACAGAAAGGAGUGGAUGGUAUAGCCUAGUAUAGUAUAGAUGGAAAUGGAUAAACUUCCUCACCGG
Ornithodoros turicata is the source of this 353-nucleotide long non-coding RNA. RefSeq lists it as uncharacterized. The record is from RefSeq and is a predicted model, not a curated record. The transcript is spliced from 4 exons. NCBI's taxonomy places the organism in Eukaryota, Metazoa, Arthropoda, Arachnida, Ixodida, Argasidae.